AUGCGGACCGCAGAUUGCUGGCGAUGCCCGGCACGUCUCCCGGCUCCCCCCGGCUCGAGACCCCGAGCGGGGUCGGGCUGGGGGCCGUGCCCUGGAUGCCCACCCGGCCCCUCGCCCCCGACCGGGCGCUGCCGCUGCCAACGCGGCCCCACGGCCGCGGCGCGGGGGGGUCGCCGCCGGCUGCACCGCGAGGAGCGGAGCUGGCCGCCGGCACGCACAGACCAUUACCGGUGGGGUCCCCGUGCCGGGGGAGCCGAAACGACACCGAAAUGCCCUCGGCGCUGUGCAUCUACCCCCCUGCGGAACGUUUCAGGAAGCGAAGCGGAGCCGGCGCGUUCAGACGCGCGCUCACACUCCCGAUCCACAGCGCCCCGGCGGCUCCGCCAGCCGCAUCCCGGCCCCGGGCGGCGGAUGCCGGGCCCGCGGUGCCCGGCGGCGGUGGUGGGGGGGGGGGGGGAGGGGGGGAGGGUGAUGCCGGUGCGGCUGCAUCGGGGCCGCGCAGCGCACGGCGACCGGGGGGCGGCCCCGGGAGGCAGCGCUGCCGCCGCGCCGCAGCCCCGCAUCCGCUGCCCUCAAGGUCACGACGCGCCCCGGCUGGAGGUGCGCGCUCCGGUUACCGGCUGCGGAGGGAGGCUGGCGGGGAAGGAGGCUCGGAGGCGGCCCGCAGCCCCCCGCGGCGGAGCGGCCCCGCCGAGCGCCUGCACCUGCCGCCGCCGCGCCUGUGCGGAGCGGAGCGGAGCGGAGCGGGGCGGGAGGGAAGGAGCGGGGCGGAGGCGCGGCGACCCCCGCCGCCACCGCGCUUACCUCGGCGCCGCGGGGCCGCCCCCGCCGGCCGGGACGAGGCGAGGAGCCCGUGAACCUGCUGCUGCCGGCAGUGGUGGUGGUGGUGGUGCCGCUGCUGCCGGUGCCGCCGCCGCCGCCCGCCGAGCGCACAAGGUCCCCGCGCUCCCCGCCCUGCCCGCGGCCGCCCCCGCCCUGCGGCCGCGGGGGGAGGGGAAGGGGGCGGGGGGAGCGCGGAGCGGGGAACCGAGCCGCGGCGGGGAGGGGGCGCCGGGGGAGGCGGGGGCGGAGGAAGGGGAAGGGGAAGGAAGGGGAGGGGGGGGCGCGCACCGCCCGCCCCGCCCCCGUCGCCUGCUCACCGGCAGGAGCCGCGGGUCGCCUCCCGCUCUCCUCUCUCUCCUCGCUCUCUCUGUCCCCGGCCGCCCGCCUCCUGCCGCACGCCCCGGGCAGCGCCGCGGAGAGCCCCAGCCCCGCGCGGCGACCGUUACGGGAGCCGGGCGCCGCCGG
Molecule: long non-coding RNA, 1287 nt
Filed under: Cairina moschata (Muscovy duck)
Lineage: Eukaryota; Metazoa; Chordata; Aves; Anseriformes; Anatidae
Description: domestica (muscovy Duck (domestic type)) lncRNA (ENSCMMG00000005404.1)
Source: RNAcentral